Non-coding RNA from Hydra vulgaris (swiftwater hydra), 487 nucleotides. The record is from RefSeq and is a predicted model, not a curated record. Lineage: Eukaryota; Metazoa; Cnidaria; Hydrozoa; Anthoathecata; Hydridae.
GAAUUUAGAAAACCAUCAAAAUAGUAUGAUUCUCCGUAUGUGAUUGGAAGAGUCAACUUGAACACUUUAAACUGAUCUGAACAAACUGCACGAGGCAUUGCAAAUGUUUACUCGGUGUUGUAUUGAUUCUUGACUGGCUGUUAAUUUUAUACAAGCUAAAGACGACCUUAUUUUGAAUAUAAUUUUGAAAGAGUCAGACCGCUAUUAACUGGUUAUGCACAAGGCAUUUUAGAUUUGCAAGCGGGGAUGAAUCUUGACAGGCUGUUAAUUUUAUAGAAGCUAAUGUUGACCUUAUUUUAAAUAUAAGUAAGUUGUUUUUUAUUAUUAUUGGUUUUAAAUAGUGUUAGAUAUUCAAUCGUAUUUUUUAUGAAUCUAAUAAUUUAGUAGAGUGUUAUUGUCUGGAGGUGUUUGAUAUUCAGUCAGUAGAACAUGCAAAAUAUUGAAAUGAUUUGCUGCUGUGACUGUGUUUAUGAUUAUCCACGGCAAG